Molecule: ribosomal RNA, 2907 nt
Filed under: Salmonella enterica subsp. enterica serovar Dublin
Lineage: Bacteria; Pseudomonadati; Pseudomonadota; Gammaproteobacteria; Enterobacterales; Enterobacteriaceae
Description: 23S ribosomal RNA
Rfam family: Bacterial large subunit ribosomal RNA
Source: RNAcentral
GGUUAAGCGACUAAGCGUACACGGUGGAUGCCCUGGCAGUCAGAGGCGAUGAAGGGCGUGCUAAUCUGCGAUAAGCGCCGGUAAGGUGAUAUGAACCGUUAUAACCGGCGAUACCCGAAUGGGGAAACCCAGUGUGAUUCGUCACACUAUCAUUAACUGAAUCCAUAGGUUAAUGAGGCGAACCGGGGGAACUGAAACAUCUAAGUACCCCGAGGAAAAGAAAUCAACCGAGAUUCCCCCAGUAGCGGCGAGCGAACGGGGAGGAGCCCAGAGCCUGAAUCAGCAUGUGUGUUAGUGGAAGCGUCUGGAAAGGCGCGCGAUACAGGGUGACAGCCCCGUACACAAAAGCGCAUGUGCUGUGAGCUCGAUGAGUAGGGCGGGACACGUGGUAUCCUGUCUGAAUAUGGGGGGACCAUCCUCCAAGGCUAAAUACUCCUGACUGACCGAUAGUGAACCAGUACCGUGAGGGAAAGGCGAAAAGAACCCCGGCGAGGGGAGUGAAAAAGAACCUGAAAUCGUGUACGUACAAGCAGUGGGAGCACAGGUUUACCUGUGUGACUGCGUACCUUUUGUAUAAUGGGUCAGCGACUUAUAUUCUGUAGCAAGGUUAACCGAAUAGGGGAGCCGGAGGGAAACCGAGUCUUAAUUGGGCGUUAAGUUGCAGGGUAUAGACCCGAAACCCGGUGAUCUAGCCAUGGGCAGGUUGAAGGUUGGGUAACACUAACUGGAGGACCGAACCGACUAAUGUUGAAAAAUUAGCGGAUGACCUGUGGCUGGGGGUGAAAGGCCAAUCAAACCGGGAGAUAGCUGGUUCUCCCCGAAAGCUAUUUAGGUAGCGCCUCGUGAAUUCAUCUCCGGGGGUAGAGCACUGUUUCGGCUAGGGGGCCAUCCCGGCUUACCAACCCGAUGCAAACUGCGAAUACCGGAGAAUGUUAUCACGGGAGACACACGGCGGGUGCUAACGUCCGUCGUGAAGAGGGAAACAACCCAGACCGCCAGCUAAGGUCCCAAAGUCAUGGUUAAGUGGGAAACGAUGUGGGAAGGCCCAGACAGCCAGGAUGUUGGCUUAGAAGCAGCCAUCAUUUAAAGAAAGCGUAAUAGCUCACUGGUCGAGUCGGCCUGCGCGGAAGAUGUAACGGGGCUAAACCAUGCACCGAAGCUGCGGCAGCGACGCUUAUGCGUUGUUGGGUAGGGGAGCGUUCUGUAAGCCUGUGAAGGUGGCCUGUGAGGGUUGCUGGAGGUAUCAGAAGUGCGAAUGCUGACAUAAGUAACGAUAAAGCGGGUGAAAAGCCCGCUCGCCGGAAGACCAAGGGUUCCUGUCCAACGUUAAUCGGGGCAGGGUGAGUCGACCCCUAAGGCGAGGCCGAAAGGCGUAGUCGAUGGGAAACGGGUUAAUAUUCCCGUACUUGGUGUUACUGCGAAGGGGGGACGGAGAAGGCUAUGUUGGCCGGGCGACGGUUGCCCCGGUUUAAGCGUGUAGGUGUGUGUUCCAGGUAAAUCCGGUUCACUUUAACACUGAGGCGUGAUGACGAGGCACUACGGUGCUGAAGUAACAAAUGCCCUGCUUCCAGGAAAAGCCUCUAAGCAUCAGGUAACAUCAAAUCGUACCCCAAACCGACACAGGUGGUCAGGUAGAGAAUACCAAGGCGCUUGAGAGAACUCGGGUGAAGGAACUAGGCAAAAUGGUGCCGUAACUUCGGGAGAAGGCACGCUGACACGUAGGUGAAGUGAUUUACUCACGGAGCUGAAGUCAGUCGAAGAUACCAGCUGGCUGCAACUGUUUAUUAAAAACACAGCACUGUGCAAACACGAAAGUGGACGUAUACGGUGUGACGCCUGCCCGGUGCCGGAAGGUUAAUUGAUGGGGUCAGCGCAAGCGAAGCUCCUGAUCGAAGCCCCGGUAAACGGCGGCCGUAACUAUAACGGUCCUAAGGUAGCGAAAUUCCUUGUCGGGUAAGUUCCGACCUGCACGAAUGGCGUAAUGAUGGCCAGGCUGUCUCCACCCGAGACUCAGUGAAAUUGAACUCGCUGUGAAGAUGCAGUGUACCCGCGGCAAGACGGAAAGACCCCGUGAACCUUUACUAUAGCUUGACACUGAACAUUGAGCCUUGAUGUGUAGGAUAGGUGGGAGGCUUUGAAGUGUGGACGCCAGUCUGCAUGGAGCCGACCUUGAAAUACCACCCUUUAAUGUUUGAUGUUCUAACGUGGACCCGUUACCCGGGUUGCGGACAGUGUCUGGUGGGUAGUUUGACUGGGGCGGUCUCCUCCUAAAGAGUAACGGAGGAGCACGAAGGUUGGCUAAUCCUGGUCGGACAUCAGGAGGUUAGUGCAAUGGCAUAAGCCAGCUUGACUGCGAGCGUGACGGCGCGAGCAGGUGCGAAAGCAGGUCAUAGUGAUCCGGUGGUUCUGAAUGGAAGGGCCAUCGCUCAACGGAUAAAAGGUACUCCGGGGAUAACAGGCUGAUACCGCCCAAGAGUUCAUAUCGACGGCGGUGUUUGGCACCUCGAUGUCGGCUCAUCACAUCCUGGGGCUGAAGUAGGUCCCAAGGGUAUGGCUGUUCGCCAUUUAAAGUGGUACGCGAGCUGGGUUUAGAACGUCGUGAGACAGUUCGGUCCCUAUCUGCCGUGGGCGCUGGAGAACUGAGGGGGCUGCUCCUAGUACGAGAGGACCGGAGUGGACGCAUCACUGGUGUUCGGGUUGUCAUGCCAAUGGCACUGCCCGGUAGCUAAAUGCGGAAGAGAUAAGUGCUGAAAGCAUCUAAGCACGAAACUUGCCCCGAGAUGAGUUCUCCCUGAGACUUAAAGUCUCCUGAAGGAACGUUGAAGACGACGACGUUGAUAGGCCGGGUGUGUAAGCGCAGCGAUGCGUUGAGCUAACCGGUACUAAUGAACCGUGAGGCUUAACCCU